RNAcentral lists this long non-coding RNA (1848 nucleotides) under Mus musculus (house mouse). RNAcentral describes it as "long non-coding RNA chr15:85420697-85422545". The record is from RNAcentral. Lineage: Eukaryota; Metazoa; Chordata; Mammalia; Rodentia; Muridae.
UUUGAACUCAAGAUUCUUUUAUGAUGAUGGAAUAUUUCAUGUUUUAAUACCCAGUAUAGAAUGCAUGCUCAAGUAUUUUACCAGGUAUGUGUUUUUUUACAGGUUCAUAUAAUAUAUAAAAUGCAUUUCUGUUCCAAGAAAAAUAUAACUGGUAAACAAUUGGGAAAGGGCUUGCAUAUUUUCCUUUAUUACCCUGUCUGAUGAGUAAUGCUUUCAGUUAUGCUCACUUCACGUUUAACCAGGCUAGUGUUUAGUCUUGGUUAGGGCUGUUUUCCUUAUGAGCACAGGAACGGCCAAUCUUGUGCCCUGCCUGUCUUCCAGGUGGAGUCUUUGCAUUGUUUCCAGAUCAUGGGGCUUAAUGUAAGGUCAGAGUUUCUUGUGAAAACAGAUUUUGGAUUAGCUAUGUCUGUGCACUUGCACACACCCCUGCACACCUGCCUGUGCACUUAAGCUGGAGUCACUUGCUAGAGUCAUGCUUUGAUUUCAAGAUGCAACGAAGACUUGAGAUUCUGCCUUAGAACCUAAAAGUGUGAGGUCAGACUGAGUGCACUGUCCCGGCAGCUAUUGCUUUCUAGAGCAUAAGGUCUGGGAAAGAGCUGGGUUAUUAUGAGUGUCUCAUGCAGGGGCUGUCUUUGUAAAUAUAGAUUUCUCUGUGUUAAGUGGUCCUGAAAAAGAUUGUGUGGCUUUUAAAAUACAAAGUAUUUUCUAGCCCUUUCUAGAAAAACGUUGGCAACCCCUGACAAUUUAAUUUAAAAAAAAAAAAAAGUGUUCGAAUCCAAGUUUGAUCACACCUAUAGAACUUGGCCAUCUUCUGUAAGCUGUGUGUGUGGCUGUGUGUGAAUAUAUGUUACCUGUUUAUUGUGUGUGCCGUGCUGUUUCUCAGGUUCAGGAAGGACUCUAGGCACAAUAGACAUAAUUCCUGUCCUUGUGAAACUUGAAGCCAGUAAUACAUUCUCUGAUAAUAGUCACCAUAAUGAAGAGCAGGGAAAUUGAUUACAUAUAUAUAUAUAGUGUUCUGCUUACACGUAUGCCUACACACACCAGUGGAAGGCACCAGAUCUCAUUAUAGGUGGUUGUGAGCUACCAUAUGAUUGCUAGGAAUUGAACUCAGGACCUCUGGGAGAUUAGCCAAUACUCUCAACCUCUGAGCCAUCUCUCCAGCCCCCAGAAAUUAACAUUUACAAAAGUAAUAUUUAGUACAUUCUUUGGCAUAGGCAAUGAUCAGCAAAUAUAUCCUGAAUGAUUGGUGUGAGUCCAUGUUUGCUGUCCUCAGAAGUUCUCACUGGAGAGUGAGUGCCUAGAAAUAACAGGGACUAUCUCUGGUGCAUUAGUCCUGCACAGCGAAGAGCUUGUAUGAAAUUCUGAUUCACCUCUGAGUGCAUGAUCCAUAUGCCCUCAGUCUCUGGCCCAAGCAAUGCAAGAGUUUCCGCCUGUUCCUGUAGAGAUGGUUCCAGUGGAGGAAGUAGAAGCGAGAGCAGUCAGAAGCGCAGUGCUCGCUCUCACCACGGAAAUACUCUGGUGAACCGGACUCCAUUCCUUGCAGCUUUGUGCUCACCCUUUCUUUCCCAUUAGACAAUAGGUUCGAUUAACAAUCCUGUGUAUCAUCAUGUGGUGGGCAGAAUAUGUGAGAAUAUUAGGACCAAGUUAGGUUCCUAUUCUUUGAAGUUGUGAUUAUGUUUUAGGAAUGAAGAGUAACAUUUAAAAUUGUGGGACUAGCUGGGCAUUGUUGAUGCGCCUUCAAUCCCAGCACUCUGGAGACAGAGGCAGAUCAGUCUCUGAGUUUGAGGCCAGCCUUGUAUACAGAAUGAGUUCCAGGACAGCCACGGAUGCAUAGAAAAACCCCAUCUC